RNAcentral lists this ribosomal RNA (253 nucleotides) under uncultured bacterium. Its description in RNAcentral is "partial 16S ribosomal RNA". It matches the Rfam family "Bacterial small subunit ribosomal RNA", at positions 524 to 776 of the family's 1533-position model. The record is from RNAcentral.
UACGUAGGGGGCAAGCGUUGUCCGGAAUUAUUGGGCGUAAAGCGCGCGCAGGCGGCCCGUUAAGUCUGAUGUGAAAGCCCACGGCUCAACCGUGGAGGGUCAUUGGAAACUGGGGGACUUGAGUGCAGAAGAGGAAAGCGGAAUUCCACGUGUAGCGGUGAAAUGCGUAGAGAUGUGGAGGAACACCAGUGGCGAAGGCGGCUUUCUGGUCUGUAACUGACGCUGAGGCGCGAAAGCGUGGGGAGCAAACAGG